CUUUCCGGCCACCAGCGAAUACACCUUUUCCUCUUUCAAUUUUUCGACCAACUUUCCUUAUUUAAUAUUUUCUUUCCUUUCCUUUUCUAUUUUAUUCUCUUUCCUUAAUUCUUCUAUAGUACCAAAUUUUAUAGCAUAAUCUCCUCCUAAUCACAAAUCAGAAUGUUUCCUUCCCCUUUUCCACUCUCAAAAACAGAUUUUGAAGAGAAAUUGCGAAGAUCGGGGUAGAUUUUUCUUUGAAGAAUCCGUCCAAGUUCAAGAUGUCACAAAGUAGGUGAAUUGGAGAUGAAAGUAGAACAAAAUGGAUACUUAAAAGUCGAAAGCGUACUCGGGAGCAGUUGAAAAGAAAAAGCUGGCGAAGCCAGGCGUUAUACCUGGCGAAGCCAGACCUAGAUCAGGCCUUAUACCUGGCGACGCCAGGCUUGUAGCGGGCGAGAGACUUGGCGAGGCGGGGCAGAAAGAGAGAUUGACCAGGCUUUAUACUUGGCGACGCUAGGCCUGGGGCGAGGUCCACCAGGCGUUAAGGCCUCGCGAGGCCAGGUCUGGGCGUGCACAGCCCGAGUUUUGAAAACUUAUUUCGUCUCCGGGUUUGACUAGAACUUUGUUUACACGUUUAGGUCUUUUCCUACACAUAUAAAUAGAUAUAAAAAUGCCACUUUGGAGGACUUUUGCAACUGGAGGCAAGAAUAGCUUGUGUAAUCAACCGUUGAGAGUUAGAAUCAUCGAUUUCUGCA
Molecule: long non-coding RNA, 734 nt
Organism: Nicotiana tabacum (common tobacco)
Lineage: Eukaryota; Viridiplantae; Streptophyta; Magnoliopsida; Solanales; Solanaceae
Source: RefSeq, a predicted model, not a curated record